ACGAACGCUGGCGGCAUGCCUAACACAUGCAAGUCGAACGAGACCUUCGGGUCUAGUGGCGCACGGGUGCGUAACGCGUGGGAAUCUGCCCUUGGGUUCGGAAUAACAGUUGGAAACGACUGCUAAUACCGGAUGAUGACGUAAGUCCAAAGAUUUAUCGCCCAGGGAUGAGCCCGCGUAGGAUUAGCUAGUUGGUGGGGUAAAGGCCUACCAAGGCGACGAUCCUUAGCUGGUCUGAGAGGAUGAUCAGCCACACUGGGACUGAGACACGGCCCAGACUCCUACGGGAGGCAGCAGUGGGGAAUAUUGGACCAUGGGCGAAAGCCUGAUCCAGCAAUGCCGCGUGAGUGAUGAAGGCCUUAGGGUUGUAAAGCUCUUUUACCCGGGAUGAUAAUGACAGUACCGGGAGAAUAAGCCCCGGCUAACUCCGUG
RNAcentral lists this ribosomal RNA (432 nucleotides) under uncultured bacterium. Its description in RNAcentral is "partial 16S ribosomal RNA". It matches the Rfam family "Bacterial small subunit ribosomal RNA", at positions 29 to 507 of the family's 1533-position model. The record is from RNAcentral.